Long non-coding RNA from Lolium perenne, 545 nucleotides. RefSeq lists it as uncharacterized. NCBI's taxonomy places the organism in Eukaryota, Viridiplantae, Streptophyta, Magnoliopsida, Poales, Poaceae. The record is from RefSeq and is a predicted model, not a curated record.
UAUAUAAAUGGAGUAUGCCUAACGACACAAGAACACACACGCACGCAUUCACCCCAAACCAGUCAACCACAGAAGAACACACGCAUAUCCUGAUCUAAAUCCAUGGCUUUCUCCUCGAGAAGCUUGGCCGUGCUCCUGUGCGUGAUCCUGGUCUUGCUCGCGUUCGCCACGCGGGACGCGUUCGCCGCCAGAGCCCUUCUUCAAGUCUCCACCGGCGCUCCUUUCACUCCCUAUCCUUCCUUUCCUGGACCAAGAACGAACAGACCUUAGGCGCAGGAUUCAGUUACGAUGCUUCGAUCAAGUAUAUUAUAUAUGAGCGGCGCCCAUGGAUAAAUAAGUUUGUCGCCCAUCAUCCACUCGCCGUUCAUAUAUGGCGCACAACUGUAUGCCGUUCUAUAAGUUUCGCUUUUCCGAAUAAACACCAUGGAGAUGUGCGUGAACAGAGUCUAGAAUUUGUAGGGUCGUGUCCAAGUUGUAAGUUUUGAGUUGAGGCGCUGCCUGAACUGUACAAGUCUUUGGGUACCACGACGUCUAACAUUUACUUC